AUGAUGCUGCUCCUAAAGAAAAGUAGGGAGUCGGACAUUCUUAUCAGACAGCUGACGAGUUGGUCUGAAGCUCAGAGCUACUGCAGAGAGUACUACACAGACCUGGCCAGUGUGAGGAACCAGGCUCAGAACCAUGGAGGUUUCUACCAACUGUCGUCAUGCCUCACCGGCCAAUACGUAUUUGCUAAUGACCCCAAGACCUGGAUUGAAGCACAGAGAUACUGCAGAGAGAAGUACACUGACCUGGCCACCAUAGAAAACAUUGAGGAUAUGAACAGAUUUAGACAAGUUGUCAAUGGAUACAAUGGAAGAGUCUGGAUAGGACUCUAUGAUGAUGUUAACAGAGGGACCAAUUCCUCCAAUCACUUCAAUUUGAUUAAUGAAAGACAAAGUUGGUCUGAGGCGCAGAGCUACUGCAGAGUGUACUACACAGACCUGGCCAGUGUGAGGAACCAGACUGAGAACCAGGAGACAUACACCAUGCUCUACCAACUGAGCCACAAAGGAACAGAGGACCAGUUGGGAGUUUUCCUGGCCACUAGAGUGGCCAAUGGUAGCAGCGUAUGGAUCGGCCUAUUCAGAGACUCCUGGAAGUGGUCAGACCAGAGCGACUCCUUCAGAUACUGGGUCGAGGAACGUCUGAGGGUUGUGUUGAAGUAUGGAUCACUAACAAUGGACUAUGGAACGAUAUUAUCUGCACUCAUCCAGUCUUUUGUCUGCUACUACACAGGAUAUGCUGGAGUGCAGGUGAAAUUCACCUCGACAACAGCGUUAACAGAUUCUAACAUCACCGAACUGGUCUUGAAGAAGCUACAAGAUGAACUGAGACAGCGAGAGAUAUCCGACUCUGUCACCCUGCGAUGGAAGAAAAAAGACUGAUUCUGACUGAGGUGGAUGGAAGGAGGGAGGAGAAGAUAGAAGGACGGAGGAGAUGAGUGGAUGAAGAGAAUGAAGAGAGAUUCAUGUAUUUUUUUCAUGGAAAAUGUAGAAGAAAUCCAGCUCAGAAAGAAAGCUUUAUUGUUCGAUUUUUGUCCAACUCUUAAAAAGGAUAACAAUGCAUACUGAGCCCUUCACUAGGCUUAUAACAAACUAAUACAAAUUAAUUCGUGCUAUUUGUGAUUGAAAAUACACUGUAAUCACUCAUCUAAUAAUUUUUGAACAUACUAUAUCAACUAAAUCAACAUUCUUCA
Molecule: non-coding RNA, 1190 nt
Organism: Salmo salar (Atlantic salmon)
Lineage: Eukaryota; Metazoa; Chordata; Actinopteri; Salmoniformes; Salmonidae
Source: RefSeq, a predicted model, not a curated record